CCAGGAUGGCCGAAUGGUUAUGGCAUCGGACUUCAAUUUCGAAGUGAGCGCGGGUUCGAAUCCUGCUCCUUCGA
Caerostris darwini is the source of this 74-nucleotide non-coding RNA. NCBI's taxonomy places the organism in Eukaryota, Metazoa, Arthropoda, Arachnida, Araneae, Araneidae. The record is from the annotation of a GenBank genome assembly.